AAGAAGGAGGUACGUUAGCAAGCUUGAUACCCUGACGUACCGACGGAACGACACGGCAAAUAACCGUGCCAGCAGCGGCGGUAAUACGUAGGGGGCAGCGUGCGUAGGAUUUUUGGGAUUCGUAAAGCUUUUGGGCCGUCCAGGUGGUUUCGUCAGUCUGAUGUGAAAAUCCCCCGGCUCAAACCCGGGAGGGUCAUUGGGAAACUGGGAGACCUGAGUUCAGAAGGAGAAGAGUGGAAUUCCAUGUGGAGCGGUGAAAUGCGUAGAGAUUUGGAGGAACACCAGUGGCGAAGGCGGCUCUCUGGUCUGUAACUGACCCUGAGGCUCGAAAGCGUGGGGAGGCCAAACGGGAUUAGAUACCCUGGUAGUUCACGCCGUACAACGAUGAGUGAUAAGUGUUUGAGGGCUUCCUGCCCUUCAGUCUGAAGCUAACGCAUUAAGCAUCCGCCUGGGGAGUACGGCCGCAAGGUUGAAACUCAAAGGAAUUGACGGGGGCCCGCACAAGCGGUGGAGCAUGUGGUUUCAAAUUCGAAGCAACGCGAAGCCAACCUUACCAGGUCUUAUGACAUCCUCUGAACACUCUUAGAGAUAGAGCUUUUCCUUCGGGACCAAUCAGUGACAGGUGGUGCAUGGGUUGUCGUCAGCUCGUGUCCUGUGAGAUGUUGGGUUAAGUUCCCGCAACGAGCGCAACCCUUUCCUUAGUUGCCAUCAUUAAUUGGGCACUCUAAAGGGACCGCCCGUGACAAACCGGAGGAAGGGGGGGAAGACGUCAAAUCAUCCUGCCCCUUAUGACCUGGGCUACCCACUGCUACAAUGGGCGGUACAAAGAGGAGCAAGCCCGCGAGGUGCAACCAAUCUUCUAAAACUGUUUUCAGUUCGGAAUGCAGGUUGCAACUUGCAUUCCUGAAGCUGGAAUCGCUAGUAAUCGCGGAUCAGCAUGCCCCGGUGAAUACGUUCCCGGGCCUUUACCCACCCCCCGUCACACCACGAGAGUUUGUAACCCCAGAAGUCGGUGAGGUAACCCUUUGGAACCACCUCCCAGA
RNAcentral lists this ribosomal RNA (1043 nucleotides) under Staphylococcus saprophyticus. Its description in RNAcentral is "bacterial SSU rRNA". It matches the Rfam family "Bacterial small subunit ribosomal RNA", at positions 445 to 1460 of the family's 1533-position model. Lineage: Bacteria; Bacillati; Bacillota; Bacilli; Caryophanales; Staphylococcaceae. The record is from RNAcentral.